Molecule: RNA transcript, 2293 nt
Organism: Solanum pennellii
Lineage: Eukaryota; Viridiplantae; Streptophyta; Magnoliopsida; Solanales; Solanaceae
Gene name: fatty acid amide hydrolase-like
Exons: 22
Source: RefSeq, a predicted model, not a curated record
UGCGCAAACAGUUGUUUGUUAUGUAUUGCGAUUUCUUGGGGCUUACGAAUGAGUAUUCGAAGCCCAAAAUUACGCCCGAGGGUCAGCCCAACGCUCUUUGUGAGAUUAUUGUCGGUUGAGACCUUUUCAAGGUCCAGACAAUGGCGAACUGAAUUUCAACUCAAUGUCCUUGUCACAAUGGACAUUAAAUUCAAAAAUUGUGACUGAAAAAUGGGGAAAAAACAAGUAAUGUUGCCGGCGAAUGAAGUAGACCUUACUGCAGUCGAAUAUGUGCCCGAAAAAAUUGAAGCUCCACAUUUGACGGGGUUUUGGUUCAAGUUGUUUGUUAAAGUAAUGGAGGCACCUGUAAUUGGUUCUUUUAUUGCUAGUCAUCUGAAGGAGAAGAAUGGGAUUACUGAGAUUCUGAAGAAUACUGUGAUACCAGAGGUUCCCAUGUUCAUUCCCCAGUUCCCUCUUCAAGAGCAAGAGCCUGGUGUUGUUUGCUUAGGAGAAGAUGGAAAACAUAAAGAACAGGUUGAUUUAGCAUUGAAGUAUCUUCCACAUUAUGAUCCUGCUAGUAGAUGGAGUUCUGAUUCAGGAGAAUCAUCCCAAUUCCGCUGCUGGAUAAUUCGUGAUUAUGAAUAUGCAUACAGAAAUAAGCUAACGACCCCAUCCAUGGUUGCAGAGCACUUUAUCUCAGCAAUGGAGGUAUUUAAUAGUAAGCAGCCAUCAGCACCAUUAUUAAUCUCAUUUGACCCUGAGGAAGUGAGAAGGCAAGCGGCAGCUUCCACUCAAAGAUUUGAGAAAGGAAAACAACUGUCAAUCUUGGAAGGGAUUUUCAUUGCAGUCAAGGAUGACAUUGAUUGCUAUCCUCAUCCUUCAAAAGGUGGUUCUAAAUGGUUUCAUGAGGUUCGCCAGGUGAAGGCAGAUGGGGUUCCUGUGUCAAGAUUACGAAACAAUGGUGCAAUUUUAGUAGGAAAGACAAAUAUGCAUGAGUUUGGUAUGGGCAUAACAGGAAAUAAUCCAAAUUAUGGUACACCUAGAAAUCCGCAUAAUCCAAAAAGGUACACAGGUGGUUCUUCCUCAGGUUCAGCUGCAAUUGUCGCUUCUGGAUUGUGCUCAGCAGCAUUGGGAACAGAUGCUGGAGGUUCAGUACGAAUUCCUGCUUCUCUUUGCGGGGUUGUGGGCUUAAAAACAACAUUUGGACGGACUGACCUGACAGGGUCUUUGUGGGAAGCAGGAACUGUCACAAUUAUUGGACCCAUCACAGCUACUGUUGAGGAUGCCAUACUUGUGUAUGCAGCAAUCUCGGGAUCCUCUCCAACUGAUCGAAUUCGGCUGAAUCCUUCCCUCCCUAAUUUUCCCGAUUUAUCUUCCAGUGAGAGUUCAAAUAUCUUGGGAUCACUUACCUUGGGAAAGUAUACAAAGUGGUUUAAGGAUGUUAGCUCGACCGACAUAUCUGAUAAGUGUGAAGAUGUCCUAAACCAACUAUUUCGUCGAUAUGGGUGCAAAACAACAGAGAUUGUCAUACCGGAGCUUCGUGAGCUGCGCACAGCUCAUACUGUUACUUUUGGAUCUGAAUCACUGUGCUUUUUGAAUCCUGAUUGCGAGGCUGGGAAAGGAGUUAGAUUGACUAAUGACACUCGCACAAAUCUGGCACUUUUCAGAUCAUUUGCAGCAUCUGACUAUAUAUGUGCCCAGUGUCUUAGGCGAAGGAUAAUGUACUACCAUAUGGAGAUUUUCAAGAAAGUAGAUGUCAUUGUAACACCUACCACUGGAAGAUUUCCGUUGAAUACCUCACUCGCGAAGUUUACACAUCGAAUGGAAAUGUAUAUGUUCAUGUAGAAUGACCUAAUGACAGCCCCAGAAAUUCCAGAAAGUGCUCUUGCAGUUGGAGAGACGAAUUUGCAAGUUGUAGCAAGACUAAUGCAAUUUGCUAUGACAGCAAAUGUUCUUGGACUUCCGGCAAUUUCUGUCCCUAUUGGUCAUGAUAAGCAAGGACUUCCAAUAGGCUUGCAACUUAUUGGUCGUCCGUGGUGUGAAGCUUCAAUCUUGCGUUUAGCUGUUGCAGUUGAGAGUAUAGGAAGAAGCCAGUGGAGUUCUAUGACAUCUUGAAAGGGAACGGUUUCCACGACUCCACUGAGGAAUAAGUUUUAAGCCUAACCUCAAAGGGAAAACAAGAUUCAUCACAAUUUGUGUUUGCGUCUUUUAAAAUAGCAGUUAAAUUUCUUUUUUGGCCAUGCAACUCACGCUUUGUAUAACUUUGUUCUUAAUUAUAUAUAUCUCUUAGCAUAGAUGCAUAUUCAUUAUUUAA